Non-coding RNA from Pantherophis guttatus, 383 nucleotides. The record is from RefSeq and is a predicted model, not a curated record. NCBI's taxonomy places the organism in Eukaryota, Metazoa, Chordata, Lepidosauria, Squamata, Colubridae.
ACUUGCUGGCUGCCAGAAAGGAAAAAAGCCCAGAAUCGAGUGGAUGUGAUUCUACUGAGCUAGGGCUGCAGAAAAACCUUGGUUAUGUAGGAAAAACCUGGCUAGAGGAUAAACACACAUAAAUCCUACGAAGAAGGUGUUCCUGGAUAUUGAAUCGAAAGCCUGCUUAAAAUCAAGGAAGGCCACAAAAAGAGAGGAUUUUUUUUUUGUAUGUAUAUUUUUGAACCAGAUGGUGAAGUAUCAGGAUAUGAUCCACCAUAGAUCUUCCUUCUCUAAAACCGGCUUUGAUUAUCCCACCUGAAAUUAUCCAGUCCCGGAGUUUAUAGUUUAGAUGUUUGGCAUACAAUUUACUAAUAACACUCAGAAGACUAAUGGGUCUAUAA